AAUAGAUACCCUGGUAGUCCACGCCGUAAACGAUGAGUGCUAAGUGUUAGGGGGUUUCCGCCCCUUAGUGCUGCAGCUAACGCAUUAAGCACUCCGCCUGGGGAGUACGACCGCAAGGUUGAAACUCAAAGGAAUUGACGGGGGCCCGCACAAGCGGUGGAGCAUGUGGUUUAAUUCGAAGCAACGCGAAGAACCUUACCAGGUCUUGACAUCCCAAUGACCGCUCUAGAGAUAGAGUUUUCCCUUCGGGGACAUUGGUGACAGGUGGUGCAUGGUUGUCGUCAGCUCGUGUCGUGAGAUGUUGGGUUAAGUCCCGCAACGAGCGCAACCCUUAUUCUUAGUUGCCAUCAUUUAGUUGGGCACUCUAAGGAGACUGCCGGUGACAAACCGGAGGAAGGUGGGGAUGACGUCAAAUCAUCAUGCCCCUUAUGACCUGGGCUACACACGUGCUACAAUGGACGGUACAAAGAGCUGCGAGCCCGCGAGGGUAAGCCAAUCUCAUAAAAACCGUUCUCAGUUCGGAUUGUAGU
Molecule: ribosomal RNA, 530 nt
Filed under: uncultured bacterium
Lineage: Bacteria
Description: bacterial SSU rRNA
Rfam family: Bacterial small subunit ribosomal RNA
Source: RNAcentral